RNAcentral lists this non-coding RNA (200 nucleotides) under Streptococcus cuniculi. RNAcentral describes it as "T-box sequence". It matches the Rfam family "T-box leader". Rfam says of the family: Uncharged tRNA acts as the effector for transcription antitermination of genes in the T-box leader family. Lineage: Bacteria; Bacillati; Bacillota; Bacilli; Lactobacillales; Streptococcaceae. The record is from RNAcentral.
AUAAUUGAAAAGAAUCAGAAAAGUAGUGAAUUAGCUAUUUUUAGAGAGCCUGUGGUCGGUGAAAACAGGUAAUAGCGAUUGAUGAAUGGGCUGAUGGAUCAAGAAUCUGAAAUCAUAAAGAUUCGGCUUGCAGGCCUUAUAUGCAAAUGAGAUGAGAUGACUCAUAAGUGAGGUGGCACCGUGUCUUUGACGCCCUCGCA